AUUGAACGCUGGCGGCAGGCCUAACACAUGCAAGUCGAGCGGAUGAAGGGAGCUUGCUCCUGGAUUCAGCGGCGGACGGGUGAGUAAUGCCUAGGAAUCUGCCUGGUAGUGGGGGAUAACGUCCGGAAACGGGCGCUAAUACCGCAUACGUCCUGAGGGAGAAAGUGGGGGAUCUUCGGACCUCACGCUAUCAGAUGAGCCUAGGUCGGAUUAGCUAGUUGGUGGGGUAAAGGCCUACCAAGGCGACGAUCCGUAACUGGUCUGAGAGGAUGAUCAGUCACACUGGAACUGAGACACGGUCCAGACUCCUACGGGAGGCAGCAGGGGGGAAUAUUGGACAAUGGGCGAAAGCCUGAUCCAGCCAUGCCGCGUGUGUGAAGAAGGUCUGCGGAUUGUAAAGCACUUUAAGUUGGGAGGAAGGGCAGUAAGUUAAGACCUUGCUGUUUUGACGUUACCAACAGAAUAAGCACCGGCGAACUUCGU
This 483-nucleotide ribosomal RNA is filed under the name uncultured bacterium. Its description in RNAcentral is "partial 16S ribosomal RNA". It matches the Rfam family "Bacterial small subunit ribosomal RNA", at positions 30 to 506 of the family's 1533-position model. The record is from RNAcentral.